UCUUGGCUUAGUUAGGAGGCGCACACUUAAUGAGCAUUGCAUGCUCAUCCAGGCCUUUUGGGGGGCAGUCAUCUGUAUUAACUAGAUGUGCUCCCCAAGCAGCCUGAGAUAUUU
Molecule: non-coding RNA, 114 nt
Organism: Brachypodium distachyon (stiff brome)
Lineage: Eukaryota; Viridiplantae; Streptophyta; Magnoliopsida; Poales; Poaceae
Source: Rfam